UUAGUGGCGGACGGGUGAGUAACGCGUGGAAAACCUGCCGUAUACUGGGGGAGUAACACUUAGAAAUAGGUGCUAAUACCGCAUAAGCGCACAGCUUCGCAUGAAGCGGUGUGAAAAACUCUGGUGGUAUACGAUGGUUCCGCGUCUGAUUAGCUAGUUGGUGGGGUAAUGGCCUACCAAGGCAACGAUCAGUAGCCGGCCUGAGAGGGUGAACGGCCACAUUGGGACUGAGACACGGCCCAAACUCCUACGGGAGGCAGCAG
This 263-nucleotide ribosomal RNA is filed under the name uncultured bacterium. RNAcentral describes it as "partial 16S ribosomal RNA". It matches the Rfam family "Bacterial small subunit ribosomal RNA", at positions 92 to 354 of the family's 1533-position model. The record is from RNAcentral.